AAAAAUUACAGACAAACUACCUGCUAGCAAGGAGGAAGCUGAACUGAACCUCGAAUGAAUCCCUUCCUCUCUAGACAACAACUUUUGGGUACCAACGCUAGCAAUCUUGACAGAGAAGGCCUCUCAACAGUUUGGCUCAGGCAAUUCACAAAGUGAGGAACUGGAUGAAUGAAAACAGCAAGGUGAAGGUGAUUUCAGUACAGAGACUGUGGAAGUUUAUGAUGAAAAGCAGCCAGACGAAUCAUGAUUCUAAUCGAAUAACUUCCAAACAGGGAUGGGAAGUGAACCCAUGGGACUUCACUGACUUUGAACAACCAACUGUCAAAGGAGUGCAGCAGAGGGAAAGGGGAGUGGUGUGUUAAAGGGACACUUGGCCAUCAGACUUUCACACCACAAGGUGCUCAGGGAUGGUGUUUAGUUUUCGCAGAUAAUUGAGGGGGAAGGUCAUGCCAGUUUUAUUUUGUAACAUUAAGAGGAAGCCUUAUAUAUUGAAAUCUAUUCUCCGCUAUUCAGAGGUCUAUGUAAGAUGAGUUUGGUGGUCACAGUCCAGUUCCGAGUGAACAAGCGUCCAUGCUUCAAAAAGUACCACCACAA
Gopherus evgoodei (Goodes thornscrub tortoise) is the source of this 594-nucleotide long non-coding RNA. RefSeq lists it as uncharacterized. The record is from RefSeq and is a predicted model, not a curated record. NCBI's taxonomy places the organism in Eukaryota, Metazoa, Chordata, Testudines, Testudinidae. The transcript is spliced from 4 exons.